GCCCUGGAUGGUGGAUCUACGCCAUCUUCUGGCAGGUCUCCAAGAAUGCCAGUGGCCACCUUGUUUUCUCAUGGGGUGAUGGCAAUUUCCGUGGCUCUAAAGAAUUUUUUACCAAACCUAGCAACACGCUGAACCAACACAAAUCUGGAUUCAAUCUUGAAAGAAAAGCGUCUAAAGAGCUCCAAGCUCUUUUCAGUGAUGACAUGGACAUGGACAGAUUGGCAGACGCUUAUGAUUCUGAUUAUGGGUGGUUCUAUAACGCAUCCGCAACGCGAACUUUCGCUGUUGGAGAAGGAAUUGUUGGCCAGACAUUUGGUUCCGGAGGUUUCACUUGGUUGACUGGUGA
Molecule: unclassified non-coding RNA, 346 nt
Filed under: Hevea brasiliensis (rubber tree)
Lineage: Eukaryota; Viridiplantae; Streptophyta; Magnoliopsida; Malpighiales; Euphorbiaceae
Source: RNAcentral